Molecule: transfer RNA, 76 nt
Filed under: Mesorhizobium sp. B2-3-5
Lineage: Bacteria; Pseudomonadati; Pseudomonadota; Alphaproteobacteria; Hyphomicrobiales; Phyllobacteriaceae
Also listed under: 2 other names
Description: tRNA-Thr
Rfam family: tRNA
About the family: Transfer RNA (tRNA) molecules are approximately 80 nucleotides in length. Their secondary structure includes four short double-helical elements and three loops (D, anti-codon, and T loops). Further hydrogen bonds mediate the characteristic L-shaped molecular structure. tRNAs have two regions of fundamental functional importance: the anti-codon, which is responsible for specific mRNA codon recognition, and the 3' end, to which the tRNAs corresponding amino acid is attached (by aminoacyl-tRNA synthetases). tRNAs cope with the degeneracy of the genetic code in two manners: having more than one tRNA (with a specific anti-codon) for a particular amino acid; and 'wobble' base-pairing, i.e. permitting non-standard base-pairing at the 3rd anti-codon position.
Source: RNAcentral
GCCGCGUUAGCUCAGUUGGUAGAGCAACCGCCUUGUAAGCGGUAGGUCGAGGGUUCAAGUCCUUCACGCGGCACCA